Molecule: ribosomal RNA, 116 nt
Filed under: Octodon degus (degu)
Lineage: Eukaryota; Metazoa; Chordata; Mammalia; Rodentia; Octodontidae
Source: RNAcentral
GUCUACGACCAUACCACCCUGAAUGCGCCUGAUCUCAUCUGAUCUCGGAAGCUAACCAGGGUCAGGCCUGGUUAGUACUUGGAUGGGAGAAAAUAGAAUAUCAGAAAUACUAUGUA